ACAAUAUUUUUAGAGUUAUACAUAAAUAAUUUUUGUAGCGUAAAAGUUAAAUAAAUUCAUACAUACUGUAAUACAGUAAGCCAAAGUAUUUAAUUUAAUUUACAAUAAUAAGUGGGCCCCCGAAUAAACAAAAGUAAAGAGGACUAUAACCUACAGUUUGAAGAAUGCAAACCCAACAGUAGUCCUCGAUGAGAUCAGCUAUCUACAGUCUAAUCUGAGCUUGAAAUGGAGGGAAAGGAGAGUGGUGAGAUUUUAUAAUCCCAGUGAGUAAACAAACAUCAUUCAAAAGAUCUAAAGUCCGAGUAAAAGGAGACAAUUAAAAUAUUUCAUCUCAAUAUGUAUUUCAUAACAUAAAUAUUCAUUUCAUUUAAAUAUUCAACAUGACUUAUGAGUAUUUUAAAAGCUUGGCUCUUACCAAAAUCAUUCUCGGGGAUACCUUGGCCGAGGCAUCUAAUCGAGUCCUCCAAGGCUGUUAAAAAGUUCGUAUACACGUAAAUAUAUUUUUAGUUUAAAAAGAACACAGCCGUUCCUUGGCAUUAGCAGAGUUCAUCGUCAUGAGGUGGUUCGGCGUGACGUGAACUCUAACCAUACCUCAGAAGAUACCCUAUGCGCCUCUUCAACCGAGGUACAUAUAUAUAUCUGAAUUCUGUACCCCUUUAAUAGGUUGGUCCACAGAACCCGCCCACUGUAGCAAGCUAAACCCACCAUACAAUAAAAUUUUAACAGCAUGACAAGGCUAAUAUGACACUACCCAACCUGCAAGGGUAAAAUAAAAUAAUUCAUACAAUUCAUAAAAUACAGCCCAACCAGUAAUGCCAACACAAUAACAAUAUAACAUAAGCCAUCAAUUUCCAAUCAUAAAUUUGCAACAUACUAGUGGUCUCCAAUUACUCUAUUUUUCAAAUCAUUAUUUUGUUUCAAGACAAUUUAUAAAGUCUUUUCAUUUAAACACAUUUUGUUUACAAAACAUAAAAAUUUACCAUUUGAACUCAUUUUCAUAAAAUUCACCAAAACCGAAUAAAAACAUACUUUAGAUAAUUAAAAUGAUGGUAAGGUUACUCACAAUGUUUAGAGUGGGGAUUUUCGAAAUACUCAGACUACUGGUCCUCAGAUACAAUUCCCUUGCCUUUAUCGGAGGACUCACCACCUUAACACAAUACAAAAUCGAGAAAUUCACCACAUUGGUACUAAAUUGAAAUUAAACUAAUUUAGACUACUAAUGCAUGAUAUGGAAUGCAAAAAGUCUAACUUUUUCCUAAACACCGUAUUAACCUAUUUCGGUCUUUUACCCAAUAAAUUGAAAUACGCAUCCAAUUUAGCUCCAAUUGAUCCCAUUUCUUUUUCUAAUGCUUCAAAUCACNUCGGUCUUUUACCCGAUAAAUUGAAAUACGCAUCCAAUUUAGCUCCAAUUGAUCCCAUUUCUUUUUCUAAUGCUUCAAAUCACCAAUGUCCAGCCAAAUAACUCAAAAAUCAGCAAAGCCACAUUCAUAUUCCUUCUUGGAAAAAUUCGGCCAAAAUGGUGCAUCAUUGUCACAAUUUUUCCUACUUGAUUUUCUUUCCAUAAUUCAUUAAUUUUCAUAUAAAAAACCAUGAUUUCAUAAUCAAAUAACCUAAAAUAACAUCACAUUCUUCCUCACCAUUGACUUGAAAAUUCAGCUAAGGCUAGGUAAUGAGAAAAAUGAAUGUUUUUCUACAUAUUUUGUUUACUAACAUGCUAAACUAACACUAAACACUAACAUAUAUCAAAGUCAAAUCAAUCCAACAAUUUUUUCUCUCUAGACCCAUAUGACCAGCCAUGAAAACAUGCAAUUUAAUCAUGGAAAAUAAGGAGAAAUGCUUGGGAAUAAGAAAACUCAAGCUUAAUAGAAAAAUCUUACCUUCUUCACUUAAUUUCCUUGAAAAUUCAUACUUUUUCUUUGAUUUUCUCUCUCUAGGGUUUGGUUUUUAUUUUCUCUCUCUUCUUGCUGGUUUGGCCGACCAUGGGGUGGA
This 1989-nucleotide long non-coding RNA is filed under the name Theobroma cacao (cacao). RNAcentral's name for it is "long non-coding RNA (TCAC_LNC001956)". The record is from RNAcentral. Lineage: Eukaryota; Viridiplantae; Streptophyta; Magnoliopsida; Malvales; Malvaceae.